AUGAACGCUAGCGGCAGGCCUAACACCUGCCAGUCGAGGGAGGAGCCUUCGGGCUUCGACCGGCGUACGGGUGCGUAACGCGUAUACAAUCUGCCUUUCACAUAGGGAUAGCCCGAAGAAAUUUGGAUUAAUACCUAAUGGUAUAUAGAUGUGGCAUCACCUUUAUAUUAAAGCUGAGGCGGUGAAAGAUGAGUAUGCGUUCUAUUAGCUAGUUGGAGAGGUAACGGCUCCCCAAGGCGACGAUAGAUAGGGGUUCUGAGAGGGAUAUCCCCCACACUGGUACUGGGAUACGGACCAGACUCCUACGGGAGGCAGCAGUGAGGAAUAUUGGACAAUGGUCGGAAGACUGAUCCAGCCAUGCCGCGUGCAGGAAGACGGCCUUAUGGGUUGUAAACUGCUUUUGCAGGGGAAGAAUAAGGACUACGCGUAGUUUGAUGACGGUACUCUGCGAAUAAGCAUCGGCUGACUCCGUG
This 473-nucleotide ribosomal RNA is filed under the name uncultured bacterium. RNAcentral describes it as "partial 16S ribosomal RNA". It matches the Rfam family "Bacterial small subunit ribosomal RNA", at positions 29 to 507 of the family's 1533-position model. The record is from RNAcentral.